UGAGGAAUAUUGGUCAAUGGACGAGAGUCUGAACCAGCCAAAUCGCGUGAAGGAAGACUGCCCUACGGGUUGUAAACUUCUUUUGUACAGGAAUAAAAGACAUUACGUGUAAUGUAUUGCAUGUACUGUACGAAUAAGCAUCGGCUAACUCCGUGCCAGCAGCCGCGGUAAUACGGAGGAUGCGAGCGUUAUCCGGAUUUAUUGGGUUUAAAGGGUGCGCAGGCGGGAUUUUAAGUCAGCGGUGAAAUUUUCAGGCUCAACCUGAACACUGCCGUUGAAACUGGGAUUCUUGAGUAUGGAUGAGGUAGGCGGAAUUCGUUGUGUAGCGGUGACAUGCUUAGAUAUAACGAGGAACUCCGAUUGCGUAGGCAGCUUACUAAGCCAUAACUGACGCUCAAGCACGAAAGCGUGGGGAUCAAACA
RNAcentral lists this ribosomal RNA (422 nucleotides) under uncultured bacterium. Its description in RNAcentral is "bacterial SSU rRNA". It matches the Rfam family "Bacterial small subunit ribosomal RNA", at positions 355 to 774 of the family's 1533-position model. The record is from RNAcentral.